AUUUAUUAACCAAUAACUUGCAUCAUUUUUCAUUUUAUUAUUAUUUAUUUAUUUAUUUAUUUAUACAAAAGAAAAGUGGAUUGUACUAUGUGAUUUAGCCACAGAAAGAGUAAAAAGAAAUAAGGAGGAGGAGAAAGGAAAGGAUGAAAAGUUCCUGCCAUAAAGAAGCAGUGGGAGGAAGAUAAAACAACCAACAGUUUAUGAGACUGCAACAAUCCCACAUCAAGCAACUUAAACAAGUAAAAACAAGUAAUGUAAAACUUCUGACUUGGAAGUCAAAAACGGACAAAAACAAAAAAUGUCCAAAGAACAUGUUAGAGCAGACGAAAAUAACAAAAUGUGCUGACAAGAACAAAGAGCAGUAGGUAUUGUAAUUGUUCAGAAUCCAGCUGACAAGAAGCAGUUCAGUAAUUCAAUGUUCUUGGUGAAGAUGGGAACACAGCAAGUUGUGGAUUAAGUAGUGUGCCAUUCGUUCACAGCAGAUGAUUGCUGGUAAAGUGGAGAACACUGUCACAAUUCUUCAAGGAAGUUUGAAGAGUGAUGAAAUAAAAAUACCAAAAGGCAAGUGGGAAUCACAGGAAAUGCAAAAACAUAAAUAAGUUGAGGAUGCAGUGAAUCUUCAAGCAUAACUAGUUGAACUUCAGUAUAUCAAAAAACUCAAGUAAAACAGUUAAGUAAAGAUUAGUAGCAGAAUAUGUUAAGGGGCUGUAUCAGCUGGUUUUAUUCAGUUGGUGUCAGUAUUUCCAGUAGAGAUAAUGAAUUUUUAAGUCUUUCAGAUUAGUUUCACUGUCAAGGAAGACCAAUGGUCAGGUGGCCAAUUCUUUCCACUUGAGAGAGCAAGUCGAAAAAGUGAUUCUUACUUUUGGCUCCGGUUCUGGAGUUGCUGUUACUUGGGAUCAUGUCUUAUCUCAUUUUCAAAUCACUCACUGAAUAGGUAACAGGAAGAUAGUGUACAGAAGAUAAAGCAUCAUGCCAUCUGGCUGCCAUUAGUUUCAUUGUAAAUUAAUAUAAAUGUCUCCGUUUUACAUCAUUCAAAUAGGUAAAUCAUCUGCAGUUCCUGAUUGUGCCUUAGCCUGGACUUAUCUAUAUAUAAAUUCAUCUCUUUACCAGUCAAGCCAGAGUUCUCUCCUAUCCUCAUUCCAUACUUAUCUAUCAUCAUGUUUUCAUUAUAUACCAUUUGCUUUGCUAUUGUUUAUAUUUAUCAUUAUUAUUAAUAAUGCAUUUAUGAUGUGUUUUUGAACUGUGUCAUUUGAUUCUACAGUAUGAUAUGAAAGAUUAUUCAGCCAAAUUCUAUUAAAUGCCUGGCCAUGGAUUGGAUGAUUAGAAUACCCAUCAAUGGACUAAGCAAAUUAUUGUCACUGCCACUCCCAGGCUGAACAUCAAGGUGAUGAGUGAAGUCAAGUUGAGGGAAUGGCCAACCACUUCAUUGCAUACUUAAAAAAGACACCUGUUUAAAGCAGAAAGACAUAUCAGGAGAAGCUCUAACCUAUUGACAUCCACAAGGUAUUUCAAAAUAAAAAAGCUAUCUACAAAAGAUAUGUAGAUAAUGAUAUGAUAAUAUGGAAGACAGAUGAUAAAACAGAAGAAUUAAAGAAAGUCUUCACAGACAGGGCCGCAUUUACCAUAAGGCACAUUAGGUGCAAGUUGAGGCCUCACUCUCUAUGAGACCAUA
This 1672-nucleotide long non-coding RNA is filed under the name Androctonus crassicauda. The record is from RNAcentral. Lineage: Eukaryota; Metazoa; Arthropoda; Arachnida; Scorpiones; Buthidae.